This 1451-nucleotide ribosomal RNA is filed under the name metagenome. RNAcentral describes it as "bacterial SSU rRNA". It matches the Rfam family "Bacterial small subunit ribosomal RNA". The record is from RNAcentral.
ACAUGCAAGUCGAACGGGAGUGAGGGGCAACCCUUGCUUCAGUGGCGGACGGGUGAGUAAUGCGUAGGAAUCUUCCCUAAAGCGGGGGACAACCCGGGGAAACUCGGGCUAAUACCGCAUAAUCUCUAAGGAGCAAAGAAGGGGACCUUUCGGGGCCUUUCACUUUAGGAUGAGCCUACGUCGGAUUAGCUAGUUGGUGAGGUAAAGGCUUACCAAGGUUACGAUCCGUAGCUGGUCUGAGAGGACGGCCAGCCACACUGGGACUGAGACACGGCCCAGACUCCUACGGGAGGCAGCAGUGGGGAAUAUUGGACAAUGGGGGCAACCCUGAUCCAGCAAUGCCGCGUGUGUGAAGAAGGCCUUCGGGUUGUAAAGCACUUUUAGGGGGGAAGAAAGGCUUAAGGUUAAUACCCUUGAGUGUUGACGUUAUCCACAGAAAAAGCACCGGCAAACUCUGUGCCAGCAGCCGCGGUAAUACAGAGGGUGCGAGCGUUAAUCGGAAUUACUGGGCGUAAAGCGCAUGUAGGUUGGUAUUUAAGUCGGAUGUGAAAGCCCCGGGCUCAACCUGGGAAUCGCAUUCGAUACUGAAUGCCUAGAGUAUGGUAGAGGGAAGUGGAAUUUCCGGUGUAGCGGUGAAAUGCGUAGAUAUCGGAAAGAACAUCAGUGGCGAAGGCGGCUUCCUGGAUCAAUACUGACACUAAAGUGCGAAAGCGUGGGGAGCAAACAGGAUUAGAUACCCUGGUAGUCCACGCCGUAAACGAUGAGAACUGGGCGUUGGGGAGCUUUGUCUCCUUAGUGCCGAAGCUAACGCGUUAAGUUCUCCGCCUGGGGAGUACGGCCGCAAGGCUAAAACUCAAAGGAAUUGACGGGGGCCUGCACAAGCGGUGGAGCAUGUGGUUUAAUUCGAUGCAACGCGAAAAACCUUACCUACUCUUGACAUCCCCGGAACCCCUCAGAGAUGAGGGGGUGCCUUCGGGAACCGGGAGACAGGUGCUGCAUGGCUGUCGCCAGCUCGUGUCGUGAGAUGUUGGGUUAAGUCCCGUAACGAGCGCAACCCUCGCCCUUAGUUGCCAACAGGUCAUGCUGGGAACUCUAAGGGGACUGCCGGUGAUAAACCGGAGGAAGGCGGGGAUGACGUCAAGUCAUCAUGGCCCUUACGAGUAGGGCAACACACGUGCUACAAUGGGCAGUACAGAGGGUCGCCAACCCGCAAGGGGGAGCUAAUCUCAAAAAGCUGUUCGUAGUCCAGAUUGGAGUCUGCAACUCGACUCCAUGAAGUCGGAAUCGCUAGUAAUCGCGAAUCAGCAUGUCGCGGUGAAUACGUUCACAGGCCUUGUACACACCGCCCGUCACACCAUGGGAGUGGCUUGUACCAGAAGCGGGUAGUCUAACCUUCGGGGGGACGCCCACCACGGUAUGAUCCAUGACUGGGGUGAAGUCGUAACAAGGUA